This 462-nucleotide ribosomal RNA is filed under the name uncultured bacterium. Its description in RNAcentral is "partial 16S ribosomal RNA". It matches the Rfam family "Bacterial small subunit ribosomal RNA", at positions 355 to 833 of the family's 1533-position model. The record is from RNAcentral.
UGGGGAAUAUUGGACAAUGGGGGCAACCCUGAUCCAGCAAUGCCGCGUGUGUGAAGAAGGUCUUCGGAUUGUAAAGCACUUUCGACGGGGACGAUGAUGACGGUACCCGUAGAAGAAGCCCCGGCUAACUUCGUGCCAGCAGCCGCGGUAAUACGAAGGGGGCUAGCGUUGCUCGGAAUGACUGGGCGUAAAGGGCGUGUAGGCGGUUUACACAGUCAGAUGUGAAAUCCCCGGGCUUAACCUGGGAGCUGCAUUUGAUACGUGUAGACUAGAGUGUGAGAGAGGGUUGUGGAAUUCCCAGUGUAGAGGUGAAAUUCGUAGAUAUUGGGAAGAACACCGGUGGCGAAGGCGGCAACCUGGCUCAUGACUGACGCUGAGGCGCGAAAGCGUGGGGAGCAAACAGGAUUAGAUACCCUGGUAGUCCACGCCUGUAAACGAUGUGUGCUAGAUGUGGUACUUUGU